RNAcentral lists this ribosomal RNA (467 nucleotides) under uncultured bacterium. RNAcentral describes it as "partial 16S ribosomal RNA". It matches the Rfam family "Bacterial small subunit ribosomal RNA", at positions 28 to 506 of the family's 1533-position model. The record is from RNAcentral.
GACGAACGCUGGCGGCGUGCUUAACACAUGCAAGUCGAACGGAAAGGCCCUGCUUUUGUGGGGUGCUCGAGUGGCGAACGGGUGAGUAACACGUGAGUAACCUGCCCUUGACUUUGGGAUAACUUCAGGAAACUGGGGCUAAUACCGGAUAGGAGCUCCUGCUGCCUGGUGGGGGUUGGAAAGUUUCGGCGGUUGGGGAUGGACUCGCGGCUUAUCAGCUUGUUGGUGGGGUAGUGGCUUACCAAGGCUUUGACGGGUAGCCGGCCUGGGAGGGUGACCGGGCCCAUUGGCACUGGGAUACGGCCCAGACUCCUACGGGGGGCAGCGGUGGGGAAUAUUGCACACUGGGCGGAAGCCUGAUGCAGCAACGCCGCGUGCGGGAUGACGGCCUUCGGGUGGUAAACCGCUUUCGCCUGUGACGAAGCGUGAGUGACGGUACUGGGUAAAGAAGCACCGGCUAACUACGU